RNAcentral lists this long non-coding RNA (465 nucleotides) under Homo sapiens (human). RNAcentral's name for it is "non-protein coding lnc-MYLK4-1:1". Lineage: Eukaryota; Metazoa; Chordata; Mammalia; Primates; Hominidae. The record is from RNAcentral.
CGGCCGCAGCAACCCGUGCGCACGCGGAGGCCUUCGAUGCCCUCCGCUAGGCCCCGCGCCGCGAGACCCUCGCUCGGGGAACCAGCAGGACGCUCGCGGGCCGGAGGAGGGCGCCGCUCAUGCCUCACGUCCGCAGCUCCCGCGUCCGCCCGCCCUCGGCCGGCCGCUGGCAGCGCCUCACGCGGCGUGUCGGGAAGUGUAGUUCGUGGCCGUUUGCCCCGGCGGCGGAGGCGCCUCGCGCGGCAUUCAAGAGAAAGAAGCACUGAAGAGUCAUAAUUGUGUCCUGAUUUAUAAAUCGGAGACAGAGGGAGACGAAAACCACACUCCAGAAAGUAGCUUAAUCGGACUCACUACUAAGAUGUUAAAAGUGAAGAGGCUGGAAGAAUUCAACACGUGUUAUAACAGCAACCAGCUGGAGAAAAUGGCCUUUUUUCAGUGCAGGGAAGAGGUGGAGAAAGUGAAGUG